This 429-nucleotide ribosomal RNA is filed under the name Acidobacteriota bacterium. RNAcentral describes it as "Acidobacteria bacterium partial 16S ribosomal RNA". It matches the Rfam family "Bacterial small subunit ribosomal RNA", at positions 355 to 776 of the family's 1533-position model. The record is from RNAcentral. Lineage: Bacteria; Pseudomonadati; Acidobacteriota.
UGGGGAAUUUUGGACAAUGGGGGAAACCCUGAUCCAGUCAUCCCGCGUGUGCGAUGAAGGCCUUCGGGUUGUAAAGCACUUUUGGCAGGAAAGAAACGUCAUGGGUUAAUACCCCGUGAAACUGACGGUACCUGCAGAAUAAGCACCGGCUAACUACGUGCCAGCAGCCGCGGUAAUACGUAGGGUGCAAGCGUUAAUCGGAAUUACUGGGCGUAAAGCGUGCGCAGGCGGUUCGGAAAGAAAGAUGUGAAAUCCCAGAGCUCAACUUUGGAACUGCAUUUUUAACUACCGGGCUAGAGUGUGUCAGAGGGAGGUGGAAUUCCGCGUGUAGCAGUGAAAUGCGUAGAUAUGCGGAGGAACACCGAUGGCGAAGGCAGCCUCCUGGGAUAACACUGACGCUCAUGCACGAAAGCGUGGGGAGCAAACAGG